ACGGCGAACCCGACCGCGCGAACGGCGGACCCGACCGCGCGAACGGCGGACCGCGCGAACAGCGGACCGAUUGCAGUACCCUCCUCUAAGAGAAAUAGAGAUCGGAUGGACAAAUACAGAUCAACAGAAGAGAUUCUUGUGUCCUAGAAACCAAAGAAAGAGUCAGCAAGAAUGCCCAGGGUGAAUGAUGGAUUGCAGAGCCUGGCUGGCACAUUUUGUGCCCUCCCCACCUCCAAAUUGCCUCAGUUACAAAUCGGAAGGCAGGCUUGGUGACCAGGACUGGCAAGCACAUUUUAAAGUCCCAUGCUGUGGAGUUGAUCCAUCUCAACUUGAGUCAGAAGAGGCAGAAGUGGAUGUGAGAGAAAGAGACACACAGAGAGACAGAGAGCCAAAGAGGGCAAGAGACUUGACUUUAAGAGACUCCUGUACUGACAACUCCAUGCAGUUCGGAACCAGAACGACUGCGGCUGGACCAGGGUUCAUGGGGACAUGGCAAAAUGCUGAUACUAACCUCUUAUUCAGAAUGUCCCAACAGGAUAUGUUAUCCCUAAUUGCGGGAAGGGGCCAAAGUUCAUAUCAAAUAUUCCGAUUCGUACCAGAAAAACCACACUGGUCCCUGAGGGAUAAGAUUUACACUGAACUACAUAUUAACUGUAGUGAAGAAUCUGUGCUCACAGUAGCUUCCGUUUUAAAGGUCUUUAGGUUAAAGGGCUGAGUCAGGAGACUUCAUCUGGAAUGCUGAAAUCAAAGGUGAACUUCCUGGUUGUGCAGGUGCAGGCUGGCUCGGGACGGCUUGACUGAACUCAUUGUUGUUUCCCAUUGCUCCUUGCUGCCAGGCCUUCAUGUCUGGUGACUGGUACCCAGAAGUGGGCGGGGUUUGUUGGAGCAGAGAGCUUGCUGGAGGGGUGCCGGGCAUCUGCACCAUGGAGCCCCCAGGGCUCAGCAUCGGGGUGAAGCUGGCCUCGACUUGGGGAACCAGUCCUGAUCCCGGAUACUGGAAGACAUUCUGCUGCAUCUGAGGACAGGGCCAGAAAGCCGGCUGUGCAUACCCUGAUGAGGAAACCGUAAACAGCAUCUUUCACCAGGCUCUGCAUCAGCUCCUGCUUCUAGGUUUCUGCAAUGAGUUCAUGUCCUGGUUGCAUUCAAUAUGGGCUAUAGUGAGGAUGUGUAAGUUAAAUGAACUCUUUCCUCCCCUCCCAAAACUUAAGAAAUGAAGAAAAUAGUUGGAUUAUUCAUUUCUAAUCCACCUUUCAGGAACUAUUCAUUAUUUCCUUUUGUGAUAUA
Molecule: RNA transcript, 1284 nt
Organism: Apodemus sylvaticus (European woodmouse)
Lineage: Eukaryota; Metazoa; Chordata; Mammalia; Rodentia; Muridae
Gene name: zinc finger protein basonuclin-2-like
Exons: 7
Source: RefSeq, a predicted model, not a curated record